This 497-nucleotide ribosomal RNA is filed under the name uncultured bacterium. RNAcentral describes it as "partial 16S ribosomal RNA". It matches the Rfam family "Bacterial small subunit ribosomal RNA", at positions 28 to 507 of the family's 1533-position model. The record is from RNAcentral.
GAUGAACGCUGGCGGCGUGCCUAAUACAUGCAAGUCGAGCGAACGGACGAGAAGCUUGCUUCUCUGAUGUUAGCGGCGGACGGGUGAGUAACACGUGGAUAACCUACCUAUAAGACUGGGAUAACUUCGGGAAACCGGAGCUAAUACCGGAUAAUAUUUUGAACCGCAUGGUUCAAAAGUGAAAGACGGUCUUGCUGUCACUUAUAGAUGGAUCCGCGCUGCAUUAGCUAGUUGGUAAGGUAACGGCUUACCAAGGCAACGAUGCAUAGCCGACCUGAGAGGGUGAUCGGCCAAACUGGAACUGAGACCAGGUCCAGACUCCUAAGGGAGGCAGCAGUAGGGAAUCUUCCGCAAUGGGCGAAAGCCUGACGGAGCAACGCCGCGUGAGUGAUGAAGGUCUUCGGAUCGUAAAACUCUGUUAUUAGGGAAGAAAAUAUGUGUAAGUAACUGUGCACAUCUUGACGGUAACUAAUCAGAAAGCCACGGCUAACUACGUG